This 248-nucleotide long non-coding RNA is filed under the name Oryza brachyantha (malo sina). RNAcentral's name for it is "long non-coding RNA (OBRA_LNC000955)". Lineage: Eukaryota; Viridiplantae; Streptophyta; Magnoliopsida; Poales; Poaceae. The record is from RNAcentral.
UGUGUGUACCGUCUCUUCUUUCUCCAGCCAUCUCCAUUGCGACGCCAUUCCUGCAAUCGAUCUGGCCUCGAUCUGCAUUGAGGAAUGAGCUCUCUUUGGUUUACGUUGAUGAGUAGGAAGGAGUACGUGUUGUCACAUGCUGUGCAUGUUUGUCAUCUCCAAGUGUUCAGUCUAGCAUUGGGCUGUGUGAGAGGGACCGUGAAAUGAGGCACUGCAGUGCACUGGAAUGCAUGGCAUUUGGAUGAUGC